This 588-nucleotide ribosomal RNA is filed under the name uncultured bacterium. Its description in RNAcentral is "bacterial SSU rRNA". It matches the Rfam family "Bacterial small subunit ribosomal RNA", at positions 338 to 916 of the family's 1533-position model. The record is from RNAcentral.
CCUACGGGAGGCAGCAGUGGGGAAUUGUUCGCAAUGGGCGCAAGCCUGACGACGCAACGCCGCGUGGAGGAUGAAGGUCUUCGGAUUGUAAACUCCUGUUGAUUGGGACGAAUGCCUCUGGGGCUAACACCACCAGGGGGUGACGGUACCGAUUGAGGAAGCCCCGGCUAACUCUGUGCCAGCAGCCGCGGUAAUACAGAGGGGGCGAGCGUUGUUCGGAAUUACUGGGCGUAAAGGGCGCGUAGGUGGCCACCUAAGUCAGACGUGAAAUCCCUCGGCUCAACCGGGGAACUGCGUCUGAUACUGGGUGGCUUGAAUCCGGGAGAGGGAUGUGGAAUUCCAGGUGUAGCGGUGAAAUGCGUAGAUAUCUGGAGGAACACCGGUGGCGAAGGCGGCAUCCUGGACCGGUAUUGACACUGAGGCGCGAAAGCGUGGGGAGCAAACAGGAUUAGAUACCCUGGUAGUCCACGCCGUAAGCGAUGAAUACUAGGUGUAGGGGGUAUCGACUCCCUCUGUGCCGCAGCUAACGCAAUAAGUAUUCCACCUGGGGAGUACGGCCGCAAGGUUGAAACUUAAAGGAAUUGACGG